UCUUGACUAUUAGCAAGUGUUAUGUACAAUGUAUCAAAUAUCUGCCGCCAGUUAUCAUUUCGCUUACGUUUCAACUUGAUCAACUAUAAAUUGGCAACCGACUGUGCUUUCUAGUAUUUAUUAGACGCAGAGAUUGUGUUUCAAAUUUAUCGCACCUGAUGACCUGCCUCGAAGUGUAAGCCGUUGAAAAUUAUUCUCUGAUGAUUUCUCUCGUCGAGAUUAUAUGAUUACUAGCUAUUAUGAUUAUGAAUAUGUUUUACUUUAGAAUCUUGACAAAUUUGUUUUAUAGAAUUUUUAUUAUUAUAACGAAAGAAAGUCACCGUGUGCAUAAAAAACCUCAUAAUAAGAACUAAAAGAUAUAUCUUUUGCUAUAUGCUUUUAAAAUCAAAGAAUGAUAAAUGUUUUCGUUGCAAACAAUGUCGUUGUCUGACAUUUGUUGAUUGUCAAAAAAUAUAACGACUGGAAUAAGACCAAAGAAGUAAACAAAGUUAAAA
Long non-coding RNA from Melitaea cinxia (Glanville fritillary), 494 nucleotides. RefSeq lists it as uncharacterized. The transcript is spliced from 2 exons. Lineage: Eukaryota; Metazoa; Arthropoda; Insecta; Lepidoptera; Nymphalidae. The record is from RefSeq and is a predicted model, not a curated record.